Molecule: long non-coding RNA, 6460 nt
Filed under: Homo sapiens (human)
Lineage: Eukaryota; Metazoa; Chordata; Mammalia; Primates; Hominidae
Description: HSALNT0066442
Source: RNAcentral
GAGAUAUUGGAGAAAAGAAGCUAAAAAGACUUGGAGACUACCUGUGGAGAGCCUGGGAAAAUUUGCAGGAAAUGUUAGAAUUCAAAUAACUGUAUUUUAUGGAUGCCCCUGGAUAGGGCACAUGCUUUUGUUUCUCUAAAGUCUACAACACUGUCUGUUGUCUCUUUGGCCCAUCCCAGUCUUUUAAUCUCUAGAUUUGUCCGUCAUAAUAUUUCAAAUGGUAUUUCCAAACCAUCUCCUAGUUUCCCUCAAACAAGAACAUAGACACUGAACAAUUUCACAGUUGUAUGACCAGUAUUUUUCUAAAAUAAAAAUUACUUUUUACCCUGAAAAUUUAUAAUUAUAAAAUUUAUGGCUAAAACUAUUAAAUAUAAGAACCAACAACACUAACAACUACCAGAAAGGCCACACGAUGGCAGCAAAGUAUAGGGUACAAGCAGCAAGAGCCGGCGGCCUAGAGGGUGCUAUGCACUGAAUUCUCAGAUUCCGUCUAUUCUCUAUUGAGUUCAUACAUAUUAGUCAGCAGCUGUAAUGCUAGUAACAUUAUCUCCACACAGCACCUCACACUUUACAAAACUCCCACAGAUACUUUCUCUCGUCUACUUCUUACCACCACUCUGAGAAGUCAACAGGAAAAGGAUCAUGCUUUGUGUGGAGGAUAAAGAUGGAAGUUUUACUCCAGGUACUAGAAGCACCUCAGAGGCUCAAAGGGCGGCUUUAAAAACCCACUACAGACUUGGGGGCUUAAAACAACUCUUCUGGAGGUCUGAAGUCCAAAAUCAAGGUGUCCACAGGGCUGUGCUCCUUCCAAAAGCUCUAGGUUCAGCGCAAAACUGACUCAUGCAGUACCGGGAUCGCUGCCAGAGCGACGGAGCGCGCGAGCAGCGCGGCAUCAACAGGCAGAAGGUGCCACGGGGCGGACGGGACCCACUGCCCGGGUCCAGACUUUCCAUCCGAGAAAGCAAAAGCUUUCAGUAUCCAACUUAUUAGAAGAUAACAUCUUGAUAGGGUUCUCGGGCCUUCUUAAAAUAAAUCUGUCAGACUGUGCUUUUGAAUCUGUCCUGUGUCAAGGUUGCUCCCCCAGGGCAGGGCAGCAAUUUAGCUUUUGCAAGAUCCUGCACUUGCUCCUCAAACGCCAAAGCAGCAACGCGAGCAACUUCCGAGCAGCUGCUUCUUCCCCACUCAAAGCCACAUCACCAACUUCCUCAGCAGCAGCCCCAGCAGCAAUCUGGGUGUUCAAUCUAUCUCGAUCUCACAAUGCCCAUGCCUCCUAGAGGUCUUCCCAGAGCUUAGGAGUCUUUGCCCCUCCUGGGAACUUUCUGAGGGUCCAUAUAGUGGUCCUUAGCACUAUUGCUGUUUUUUUUUUUUUUUUAAUUUUAGUUGUAAUAUACGAGUGUUAGCAAUCCUCAUACAUCUCUGACUUAUCCACAGUGCCUAGUAUACAAUGGACAAUUUAGUGAACAAUGAAUAAAUCAGAAUAUUGAGGCUUAGGAAACUAGGACCCAUCACGAACCUUCUCAUAGUAAUCCAGAUCCUGGAUGGAAGCUUUUAAUAAACACAACUUCUGUUUUCCUUCCUCUUUGUUUUUUAUUUCUUCUCGAAAGAGACUUAAUUGAAGAAAAUGAGCUCUUUCACUUCUUCCAUCCUCCAGGAACAUAAAACUGACAGCCUCCUCCAAAUGAUUAUUUAGCAUUUAAUGAUUUAUUCCUUGAGCGCCCAGUUGAUCUUCCUUGGGCCCAUUUGAAGAACUCUUGUAGCAAGGGGAAAAUUCACAUGAUCAUGCACAGCGUCAAGCUCCAUUUACCUUUUGUCCUUUAAUGAUACUGAUGAGCAGGCAGGUGAUUUAAAAGAGAACAAAUGGUCAUUAAAAUUAAUCAAAAGGACACAAUAAGGAAAAAUGUGCUAUAUAAGGGCAACAUAAGUUUUGUAGUGACACAAACAGAACAAAACAAACAAAACUCAAAGGAAUGCAAAGGUGGCAUGUAUAGUAUUUUAGCCCUUUAAUUUGAACCCAAGGACUUAAAUAUGCACAGUUUUAUGCACAGACAAAUACCACUCACUGGGGCCAAAUACACAGUAACAAUGCUAAAAGUUUACCCCUUAGACUAUUUUUAGAAAUUACAUACUAAACUAUUUUAAUCAGAGCUAUAAAGCACACAGUGACCCAUUCACAAUUUACACCAAGAAUUCUGUUUUUAUGUACAAUUUAAAAUGCAGGGGACUCACUGUCAUCACAAUGGCAAUGUAUAGAACAUUUUAAAAGCCUACAAUGAGAAAUAGGAGCCAUUUCAUGGUCAUCCUCAUAGUUUUUCCAACCGUUAGAAUUACUUUAUAUAAAAUAAAUAUUUAGUAAAUGUUAGAAAAAGGGAGAGAGAAAAUGAGGGAAGAAGGGUGAUGACAUGACUCUAGGAAUGAAGAAAUGGCAUUCGGAAAAGGUAUUUUCUUUUAUACUUGGGAAAGCAAAGGACAGAAGUAAUGAGCAAAACUUUAUACUAAAGAGUCUCAUUCUAUAUUCAGUGGUCAGAACUAGGAAAGGUUAUUUUGGAAAGUUGUUCUCUUCCUGUAGGAUAGGGGUUCUCAGUGCUUAUGGAACCUACUUCUGAACUGGCCUUAAAAAUAAUCUUGGAAAGGGGAUGGUUGGUGCCUUGUGGAGCUUAAAAAAAAAAAAGGAUAGUCAAUAUACCUGUGAUGGUCAAUUUUAUGUGUCAACUUGACCAGCCAAAGAGUGUCCAGAUAUAUGUUCAAAUAUUAUUCUAAGUAUUCCUGCAACGUUGUUUUUGGAUGAGAUUAACAUUUAAAUCAGUAGAGUGAGUAAAGCAAAUUGACCUCUGUAAUGGUGGGUGGGCCUCAUCCAAUCAGUUGAAGGCCUGAGUAGAACAAAAAGUUAACUCUCCCCUGAUUAAGACAGAAAUUCCUACCUGAAGGCCUUUGAACUGGAGCAUCAACUCUUCCUGGUUCUACAGCAGCCUACUAGCCUUCGGACUUAAACUGGGACACUGGCUCUGCAGACAGUGGACCAGCCUCAAUAAUCACAUGAGCCAAUUUCUUAUAAUAAAUAAAUAAAUAAAUAAAAAUCUCCUAUUGGUUCCAAUUCUCCAGAGACCCCUGACUAACAUAAUACCUAUUUUACGAUACUUAUUAGAAAAAAUAAAACCCAACCAAAUUUGGGUAUAAGAAACAAACAGAGCAAGAAGACAUUUCAAAAGCGGUCUGAGUUUUAAAAUGUCAACACUGCUGGUGUGUCAGCAACAUUUAAUUGCCAUCUUAUCCAUGCCCUUCCUCUUACAUGUUCAGCAAGUGUCAUUUAGUCUUCAUUUAAGUUAGGAACAAAAGUUCAAUAAUAGGUUUAACCCAGUUUUCUCCUUUCCCAGCCUCUUUUACCCUAAGGUGCCCUUGAAGCAAGGGCCUCUGCCCAGCCAUUCCCUAACAGAGGAUCAUGGGAGUGAAGUAUAGUGUCUUUCCUGUCCAGAUUAAACAUUAUCGUUGAGCUAUAAAGCUAGAUGCUGCUUUGGGAAGGGAUCACAUACAGGACUCUUGUAUUUUACUGACUUUUCUGCAAUUAAUAAUCUACUUCUCAUAGUACAUAUCCUAAAACUUAAAAGGAGUGCAGAAGUUAGCUAGUCAAUAUUGUUUAUUUUGGAUAUGGAGAAACAAAGCCUCAGAGGAGAAAAAUGUCCUAUCUGUACCAUACAGCAAUUAUUAGCAGAUCUGUAAAGCCUGCUAUAUAAUGAAGCCUCAAUUCUUAGCAUGUCUUUAAGAUGCAAGAAUUUUUAAAAAGUGUAGUUGGAGCUUCAUGAAAAUCCACUAUGUCUGCUCUGCAGGAGGGGCUAUGCUUCUGACCCUUUACCAUAUAAACUUUUGCUUAAAGAUCAAAUCAAGAAAAUAAACCUCUGAAUCUCUAAGUAGCACUGCACAAUUGGAUAGUUCAUGUCGUCCUACUCAAAAAUGGGCCACCUCCUGUCAAUGAAACCAGACUUCCAAAACAUAGGUUAUCAUAGCAUUCCCCAUUCAAACCCCUGCAAUGAUUCUCCAUUGCUUAGGGGGGAUGAGGGCAAAUGUUCAAAUGCUUAGCCUAAAAUUUAAGAACCUCCAUAAUCAAAGCUUAACCUACUCUAGCAACACAUAUUUGUUGAAUACUACUGUGUACUAGGUACAAUAAUUGAGACAGUAGAUAAAAAUGCAUCUUUGGAAGUGACUCCUCCAGCCCAGUCAAACUUUCAGGUAACUGCACAUGCAGAAGUGGUCACCUGCUUAACAGCAAUCUCAUGAGAGACCCUGAACCAGAGCCACCCAGCUAAGCCGCUCCCAAAUGUCUGGCCCACAGAAACUGUGAGAUAAUGAAUAGUUAUUUUAAGCCACUGAGUUUUGGGAUAAUCUUUUAUGCAAUAAUGGAUAAUGUACACAUCCAUGAACAGAUAAAUGGAUAAACAGACUAUGGUAUAUCCAUACAAUGGAAUACAACUAAGCAAUAACAAGAGGUGAACUAUUAUUAUAUAUAACAUGCUUUAAAAUCUCAAAUAAUUACAUGGAGUGAAGUAAGCCUAGAAGAGACAAACUAAUCAAUUAUGAUGGAAAACAAGUAGUGAUUGCCUAAGGAUGGAGAGGAGGCAAAGAGAGAAAGAGUUCAAACACGUACAAUGAAACUCUGGGGAUGCAAUUGUUAUAUUCAUUAAUUUUAUCAUGGUAAUAGUUUCAUGUCAAAAUUUGUCAAAUUGUACAUUUUAAUUGUGCACAGUUUGUUGUAAUCUGUCAAUUAAACCUCAAUAGAGCUAUAAAAAAUCAAGUAAAAAUGGUGAUCAAAGCAUUGGCAUUGGCCCUGUCCUAAUGUACUUCAGUUUGGAAUAAAGGACAUUAACUUCGCUAAUAGCCACAGUGCAGUGGAAGAAGGGCUAACACAGCAACAUGGAGGAGGAAGAGGAGGAGGAGGAGAAGAAAGAGGAGGAAGAGGAGGAGGAGGAGGAAAGUCUCCUGUUCUCUGCCUCCCACUAGGGCUUCCAUAUUGAAGUCCUUUCUUUGUUUUUCCUUUUCCUUCUUUUGGUACCACUUAGCCAGUAGGGUUUGCUAAUGCUUUUUUUUUGCAUUUAGGUUUUGGUCCCUCUUAAGCCUAGUUUCUUUCUAAUUCAGACUGAUUUUUUUUUAAAGAUCUAUUCUGGAUCUCUUCUCUAAAUGACUCUGGCCUAUUGAUAAACUUUUCACCCCAACAAAUAAUCUGUAGGGUGUUGAGAAGCUUUAAACUGAUAUAUGUAGCACCUAGCUGCCACUUUAUGAAUAGUUAAUACAUUGUAAUUAUUAUGUUGAUAUUGUUACUACUAUAAGGUUAUAUUCUAUGAUAAAUAUGAAAAAGGUACUUGAAAAAAAUAACUAAGGUUUUCUUUCACCAAUAGAUUUUUUACUUGCAAUGAAAAUUUUAGAAUUGUAAUUUCACCAUCCAAAUAACCUUUGUUUUAAAUCAUCAGAUAAAUCAGGUCACUGAGGGGAAAGGGUGAGUUGGGGUUAAACAUUAACAAAUCCUUUGGGAGGUCAGGCAAUUGAAUGAUGUCUUUUCCAGCACAUUUAUGCAGCCCUUUUUUUUCUGCUUACAAACGAAGAAAAAUAAUGAAUGUUGCCUUUGGGUUAGAAAAGUACAGCACAGGGAAAGAACCAUCUCUCACUUUAUAAUAUGUAAAACAAUUUCAUAUUCACCAUAUGAUUUCAUCCGCACAGCAACCAUGUUGUAACAAAGGCAGGGAAUGUUACCCAAUCACACAGAUGAGAGAGCUGAAGGUAAGUCAGAUAAAGUAACUUGCCAAAUACCACGCAAGCUAGUUUUAGAACAACUGACUCUAAAUCUUGCACAUUUUCCAUAACACUGAAAUGUUUAAGAAGAAAGUUUGAUUGGAAAAGGAGGUAAGAAAAGGAAGUAUUGUGUGACUUAAAGUAAAGAGUAAUGUCUUAGAAAGGUACUGAGGGGAAAUCAGGUCAAUGUCUUACCUGCAUGCUAUGGCCUCUCCUUAUACUAAGAGAAUGAUUAAAUAAAUGAUAAUUAAAUCCAUCAGAUACAUUAUUUAAGAAUACUUGAUGGUAUGGAAAAAAAAUGCUCAUAUUUUAAUAUUAAGUUUGAAAGGCAGAGAAAGAACAACAGUUUAGUCCCAAAUCUGCUAGGUGGCAGGGGAGGGCAGAAAAAUAAAUCAUCAUGUUUAUUGCGGCACUAUUCACAAUAGCAAAGACUUGGAACCAACCCAAAUGCCCAUCAGUGAUAGACUGGACAAAGAAAAUGUGACACAUAGACACCAUGGAAUACUAUGCAGCCAUAAAAAAGGACGAGUUCAUGUUCUUUGCAGGGACAGGGGAUGAAGCUGGUAACCAUCAUUCUUGGCAAACUAACACAAGAACAGAGUACCAAACACUGUAUGUCUCACUCAUAAGUGGGAAUUGAACAAUGAGAACACCGGGACACAGGGAGGGAACAUCACACACCAGG